UACGUAGGGUGCGAGCGUUAAUCGGAAUUACUGGGCGUAAAGCGUGCGCAGGCGGUUCGCUGUGUCCGAUGUGAAAGCCCCGGGCUCAACCUGGGAAUGGCAUUGGAAACUGGCGGGCUUGAGUGCGGCAGAGGGGGGUGGAAUUCCUGGUGUAGCGGUGAAAUGCGCAGAUAUCAGGAAGAACACCCGUGGCGAAGGCGGCUCUCUGGGACGGUACUGACGCUGAGACGCGAAAGCGUGGGGAGCAAACAGG
RNAcentral lists this ribosomal RNA (253 nucleotides) under uncultured bacterium. Its description in RNAcentral is "partial 16S ribosomal RNA". It matches the Rfam family "Bacterial small subunit ribosomal RNA", at positions 524 to 776 of the family's 1533-position model. The record is from RNAcentral.